Molecule: ribosomal RNA, 511 nt
Filed under: Protocruzia adhaerens
Lineage: Eukaryota; Ciliophora; Spirotrichea
Description: Protocruzia adherens partial Bacterial large subunit ribosomal RNA
Rfam family: Bacterial large subunit ribosomal RNA
Source: RNAcentral
AGUGGGAAAGGAUGUAGAACUCCCAAAACAACCAGGAUGUUGGCUUAGAAGCAGCCAUCAUUUAAAGAAAGCGUAACAGCUCACUGGUCUAAAUAAGGGGUCUUGCGCCGAAAAUGUACCGGGGCUAAAGCCAUGCACCGAAGCUGAGGAUGUGCACUUUGUGCACGUGGUAGCGGAGCGUUCCGUAAGCCUGUGAAGGGAGACCCGUGAGGGCUCCUGGAGGUAUCGGAAGUGCGAAUGUUGACAUGAGUAACGAUAAAGGGAGUGAGAGACUCCCUCGCCGAAAGACCAAGGGUUCCUGCUUAAAGUUAAUCUGAGCAGGGUGAGCCGGCCCCUAAGGCGAGGCCGAAAGGCGUAGUCGAUGGGAAUGCAGUUAAUAUUCUGCAGCUUGGUGGUAGUGACGGAUGCCGUGUGUUGUAUCUCCUUAUUGGAUUGGGGGUGCAGCGAAGGUGUUCCAGGAAAUAGCUCCACCGUAUAAACCGUACCCGAAACCGACACAGGUGGUCAGGUA